CAGUCGCCACGGUAAUACGAACCGUGCAAACGUUACUCGGAAUCACUGGGCUUAAAGCGCACGUAGGCGGCGACAUAAGUUAGAGGUGAAAUCCCAUCGGCUCAACCGUGGAACUGCCUCUAAUACUGUGUUGCUUGAGGGAGAACGGGGCAUUCGGAACUUCCGGUGGAGCGGUGAAAUGUGUUGAUAUCGGAAGGAACGCCGGUGGCGAAAGCGGAAUGCUGGGUCUCUUCUGACGCUGAGGUGCGAGAGCUAGGGUAGCGAACGGGAUUAGAUACCCCCGUAGUCCCUGUCUCUUAUA
Molecule: ribosomal RNA, 301 nt
Filed under: uncultured bacterium
Lineage: Bacteria
Description: partial 16S ribosomal RNA
Rfam family: Bacterial small subunit ribosomal RNA
Source: RNAcentral